This 30-nucleotide small RNA is filed under the name Bombyx mori (domestic silkworm). RNAcentral describes it as "ovarian small RNA-33776". The record is from RNAcentral. Lineage: Eukaryota; Metazoa; Arthropoda; Insecta; Lepidoptera; Bombycidae.
UGCCGAUGAUUUGCAGCUUUAUGCUCAGGC